RNAcentral lists this long non-coding RNA (2433 nucleotides) under Homo sapiens (human). RNAcentral's name for it is "non-protein coding lnc-SRSF2-1:1". Lineage: Eukaryota; Metazoa; Chordata; Mammalia; Primates; Hominidae. The record is from RNAcentral.
CCUGGGCAACAAGAGUGAAAUUCCAUCUCAAAAAAUAAAAAUAAAAAAGAACUGAAUAAAAGCGCAACAAACUCCCCACAGGGGCCGGGGGCGGGGGAGAAAAAAAAGCAUAGUAGCUCAUUCCUGUAAUCCCAGCAUUUUGGAAGGCCGAGGCAGGAGGAUCACUGGAGUCCAGGAGUUCAAGGCUAGCCUGGGCAAGAUAAGACACUGCCUUUACAAAAAAAAAAAAAAAAUUAUCCAGGCAUGGUGGUACAUGCCUGUGGUCCUAGCUACUUGGGAGACUGAGGCCGGAAUAUUGCUUGAGCCCAAGACGUCAAAGCUGCAGUGAGCCAUGACUGUGCCACUGUGAUCCAGCCUGGGCAACAAAGCAAGACCCUGUCUCUAACAAAAAAGUGAGUACGAAACUGAAAAUGAAUACCAUAGCACAAAGCCAGUAGGAGGCAGCCUAGGAAAAGCUGGGUUCCUGCCAUACUGCACACAGCACUUCACUUCAUUUCCUUUCCCUUUUGACAAUAAUCACCAGGAAUCCUAGGGGUGACAAGAUGCCAUGGCUUCCUCAGAUUAAAAUUCUCAGUGUCAUUAACAGAGGUGGCUUCACCUCCUUCUGCCAGCAGGGUUGUACAGAUCCAUUAUGAGCAAACAGAGCAAGGGCCUGGAGAAUGCGAGGCUUGGGAAUACAGGACCCAGUUGUCACCUUCCAUGUAAGUCUCAGUGUGACAGGUGACAAGGUGGGCAGCCUUGUAAGAUGCUCCCCACCAAUUCCCUCCCUGAGAAUAGGCUGGAACUAGUGACUGGCACCUAACAGACAGAGUGCAACAGUGAUGAAGUUAUGAGAGACUGCGGCUUUUGUCUUGCUCUCGUUCUCUCCAGCUGUCCUUGCUUGUGACCUUUGAUGGAGACAGCUGCCAUGUCGUAGGCUGCCCUGAGGACUACUCCGUAGCAUGAUGAAGGGCAGAGGGCGAUCUUUAGCCAAUAGCCAUAAGAAACCAAGAUCCUUACUUAGCCUGACAGUCUGUGAGGAACUGACUCCUGCAACAACUAUACGAGUGAGCAGGGAAGCAGGCCCUCCCCCAGUGAAGCCUGGAACACACCUUCACUGCAGCCUGCAGAGACAUGGACUGCAGCCUGGAGAGACGCUCAGGACUCAGCUCAGCCAUGCGCAGAUUCCCGACCCACAGAAACUGUGAUGAAAUAGAUGUGUGUUAUUUUAAGUGGCUACGUUUUGAGGUAAUUUGUUAUGGCACAUUAGAAAACUAAUACACCUUGAUAAAUAAUGUGCUUAAAGAGAUAAUAAAUCACUACUGUUAAGUCUAAAAGGGCAUUUGUAAAUUAUUUAUAUAGGAUCAACUAAGCCAAUGGAGGUUAUAUCAGCUUCAAAAAGGAAAACCAGAACUUCAAAAUCUGGAGCCGCUGGGCGCAGUGGCUCACGCCUGUAAUCCCAGCACUUUGGGAGGCUGAGGCAGGCGGAUCAUGAGGUCAAGAGUUCGAGACCAGCCUGACCAACAUGGUGAAACCCCGUCUCUACUGAAAAUACAAAAAUUAGCCAGGCGGGGUGGUGCAUGCCUGUAAUCCCAGCUACUCAGGAGGCUGAGGCAGGAGAAUCGCUUUAACCUGGGAGGCGGAGGUUGCAGUGAGCCAAGAUUGCGCCACUGCACUCUAGCCUGGGCAACAGAGUGAGACGCUGUCUUGAAAAAAAAAAAAAAACACAUACACAACAACCAAAAGACAACAACAACAAAAGUGAGCUCUUCCUAGGCACGGUGGCUCUUGUUUGUAAUCCCCCCAGCACUUUGCGAGGCCAUGGCAAGAAGAUCACUUAAGCCCAGGAGUUCAAGACCAGCCUGAGCAACAUAGGGAGACUCUGUCUCUACUAAAAAUUUGAAAAGAAAAAAAAAACAAAACUGAGCUGUCUCAUUUACAUGAAAUGUUCAAAAUAAGCAAAUCUAUAGAGACAGAAAGUAGAUUCGUGGUUGCCAUGCCAGAUGAGAAAGAAUGACUGCUGACAGGCAGCGACUACUUUUUGGGGUGAUAAAAUGUCCUGGAAUUAGAUCAUUGUGGUGGUUAUGCAACCUUGUGAAUGUACACUUUAAAAUGGGACAUUUUUAUGGUUUCUGGAUUUGAUUUCAAUUUAAAAAAAAAAUUUAAGUGAGCUCUUAUGGAGGGAAGCUAACACUUCCAUUUAACAUCUCCCCAAAUAGUUAUGUUCCAUUCCCGCACCCAGGAUGAUAGACUUGCACUGCUCGAGGAGGACACAUAAAUGACGGUGUGACACUGGCCUGAUGACGCAGCUCAGAUCUCAUUCCAGAUGUUAGAUCCCUGUUCUUAAGACUUAAAGGACCGGGCAUGGUGGCUCACCCCUGCAAUCCCAGCACUUUGGGAGGCCGAGGCAGGUGAAUCACCUGAGGUCAGGAGUUCCAGACCAGCCUGGCCAAC